AAACCAACCCUUCACUUUGGGAUAACCCAAGGAAACUUGGGCUAAUACCGGAUAUCCCGGUUGGAUCGCAUGAUCCUUCCAGGAAAGCUCCGGCGGUGAUGGACGGUCUCGCGGCCUAUCAGCUAGUUGGUGAGGUAACGGCUCACCAAGGCGACGACGGGUAGCUGGAGUGAGAGCUCGAACAGCCACACUGGGACUGAGACACGGCCCAGACUCCUACGGGAGGCAGCAGUGGAGAAUCUUGCACAAUGGGCGAAAGCCUGAUGCAGCCACGCCGCGUGAGGGACGAAGGUCUUCGGAUUGUAAACCUCUUUCAGUCGUGAAGAAGCGCAAGUGACGGUAGCGACAGAAGAAGCCCCGGCUAACUACGUGCCAGCAGCCGCGGUAAUACGUAGGGGGCAAGCGUUGUCCGGAAUUAUUGGGCGUAAAGGGCGCGUAGGCGGUCCACUAAGUCGGAUGUGAAAUCCAGGGGCUCAACCCCUGAACUGCACCCGAUACUGGUGGACUUGAGGUAGGUAGAGGAGAGUGGAAUUUCUGGUGUAGCGGUGGAAUGCGCAGAUAUCAGAAGGAACACCGAUGGCGAAGGCAGCUCUCUGGGCCUUACCUGACGCUGAGGCGCGAAAGCAUGGGUAGCAAAGGGAUUAGAUACCCCUGUAGUC
RNAcentral lists this ribosomal RNA (659 nucleotides) under uncultured Actinomycetes bacterium. RNAcentral's name for it is "bacterial SSU rRNA". It matches the Rfam family "Bacterial small subunit ribosomal RNA", at positions 122 to 795 of the family's 1533-position model. Lineage: Bacteria; Bacillati; Actinomycetota; Actinomycetes. The record is from RNAcentral.